Molecule: ribosomal RNA, 484 nt
Filed under: uncultured bacterium
Lineage: Bacteria
Description: partial 16S ribosomal RNA
Rfam family: Bacterial small subunit ribosomal RNA
Source: RNAcentral
AUUGAACGCUGGCGGCAUGCUUUACACAUGAAAGUCGAACGGCAGCGCGGGCUUCGGCCUGGCGGCGAGUGGCGAACGGGUGAGUAAUACAUCGGAACGUGCCCAGUAGUGGGGGAUAGCUCGGCGAAAGCCGGAUUUAUACCGCAUACGACCUGAGGGUGAAAGCGGGGGAUCUUCGGACCUCGCGCUAUUGGAGCGGCCGAUGGCAGAUUAGCUAGUUGGUGGGGUAAAGGCCUACCAAGGCGACGAUCUGUAGCUGGUCUGAGAGGACGACCAGCCAAACUGGGACUGAGACACGGCCCAGACGCCUACGGGAGGCAGCAGUGGGGAAUGUUGGACAAAGGGCGGAAGCCUGAUCCAGCAAUGCCGCGAGUGUGAUGAAGGCCUUCGGGUUGUAAAGCACUUUUGGCGGGAACGAAAAGGACUGUGCCAAUACCACGGUUCGAUGACGGUACCCGCAGAAUAAGCACCGGCUAACUACGUG